This 1454-nucleotide ribosomal RNA is filed under the name Triticum aestivum (bread wheat). Its description in RNAcentral is "partial small subunit ribosomal RNA". Lineage: Eukaryota; Viridiplantae; Streptophyta; Magnoliopsida; Poales; Poaceae. The record is from RNAcentral.
GGUAACAUGGGUUGCGUUGUGUGGAGUCCGAAGGAAGAAGGUCGUUACCGCCGAAACUGGCCCCGUCGCGAGGAGGAGCGGUCGGAGGAACGAGAGCGUCGGUAGUGGUCGCCGUUGUGGCUUCCACUGUAGGAGAUGAGCGUUUCCGUCCGCACCUUCCUGGGGUUGUUGCACGACGUCUCGACCCUAGGCUGCGAACAGUUGGGGACGUGAACCAUGGUACAGUGGACGUUGUUGCAAUUGAGGCAGUAGGCUCACCUGAACCCCUUACGUCCGGAGAGUCCGCGGGACCAAGGACCUGACCCUGCUUACCACUUGGAAGUCAUGGACCUCGACAAACCCUUGUUGUAGUCACCUGGCUAAGGUCGUUGGGAGCCGUUGGACUGUGCGGACCAGUCGGAACUAGAGAUACUGUUGGCAGAGUGGCCGCGCUAUGGUCGGAGCGAGCCCUUGUAGCUCUGCGACGCAAAGGACUCCGACGUACCCUUGUUCGAACGUCCACCUUAUGGCCGCAGCAACCCGGCAGACUUCUUCGAAGUCCGGAACCUCGAGGUCCUUUUGUACGACUCGCCGUGCCACGGCGCCCUCCAAGAGAGGGAACAAGAACAGCCCCUGAACUGACUCGAAUUGCAACGUUUCUUGUCAGACCGGCCGUGACAGUUUAGAAGAUUUGGUUCUCAUCGAUGACAGUAGGUCCUGUGCGAGUUCUGAUGUGCAGAUGUGCGACUCGUCGUGACUGUUGGACUUGAAAACUCUGGGGACUGUGGUGGCACCUCGGAGAAAAGACACCGGUCGACCUCGAAAGACUUGGGUGGACGUACUACGUGGUGUACUCCGGUUAAUUCACACACCGGAAACUUCCUUGGAAUUGACCUUCCGCAAAAAUACCAACAGGUUACGUCUCACUUCCACAAUUGACACCACAAUGACUCACCCAACUGUUCGGGACCGUAGGUUAAGAAGUCUUAACGAACAGGUCCGACACCCUGUACAUGGUACUUGUCUUAACACCGUCCCAUCAACUAUUCGUCUUCAUACUCUUCGUAAACCGGUUCGAAUUCUGACUUUUACCGUUCGACACGUAACUCAUGUGUUUCGAACAGGUUCUACAUAGGUUCUACAAGCUAACCGUCCUACCAUCCCAUCCGGUGUACUUAUUGGUCUUCCGUCAACUCCUCCUUCUUAAACUCUUCUUCUUCUUUCUGCAUCUUCUCUCCCGAUCCAACCUCCAAGUCUACCUCUUCGAGUUUGAACGGUUCCUUGUCUCCACGUAAAAUGUCUCAGUUCGACUGUAAUAGUUCUUUUGGUCCUUCCGUUUCUUCCUCCAACUUGUCCUCUCUCUAAACGAAUUCUAUCUCUUCCGGUUCGAACUCGUACACCACUUACUCGACGACUCACUACCCGUACGUUCGUUCCUCUUUGAACUCUUUUAGUUCCGGUAGGAACUAAGUACU